GAAAAGUAAAAACCUUUCUAUGAACUUAUCAAAAUGAUUAAUACAAUUCUAUGUUGCUUCCACAAUUUUCAACUAAACAUUUACAAACAACAUAUUUAUGUGGGAGUGAAAUAUCACAAGUGUUGCAAGUGAGAAUUUAUUCAGUGCAAUCGUUAUAUAUAUAACAAAUAUAUUUUGAUCAUUGAUUAUGAUUUAGGGAUCCAAAUGAGAUCCACCAUAAUCAAUUGCCAUAAUAAAAUCGUUAUACAUACAACGAUUGUAUUCUAAAAUUUCUCAAAAAAGAAAAAAAAAAGAAAA
RNAcentral lists this unclassified non-coding RNA (297 nucleotides) under Hevea brasiliensis (rubber tree). Lineage: Eukaryota; Viridiplantae; Streptophyta; Magnoliopsida; Malpighiales; Euphorbiaceae. The record is from RNAcentral.